Long non-coding RNA from Salvia splendens (bonfire salvia), 2139 nucleotides. RefSeq lists it as uncharacterized. NCBI's taxonomy places the organism in Eukaryota, Viridiplantae, Streptophyta, Magnoliopsida, Lamiales, Lamiaceae. The transcript has 3 exons. The record is from RefSeq and is a predicted model, not a curated record.
ACUCAUGCUGGAAUUGGACAUAGUCAAAAUGGCCAACGAGAGUAAAUACACAUCUAUGCAGUUCAUAAUUCCACACCUUAAUUUUGCAAUUCACAAACAAAAUAUUGGGGCAUAAACAUCUACUAUCAAUCUAAGAAUCAACCACACUGUUACAUUUUUAUUUUUCUAUUUCAACACACACCAAAACCAUCUAAACCGCCAAAAGCUUUGGCCGCGAACAGGAGAAGAGCUGCCGAAGUGCCCAACCGCCGAAGCCGUCAGUUACGAUCAGUCUUGUGUAUACAAAAAAAUAGAAAUGGGAUUUUCUUUGCCAAAAAAAAAACAUUCUUUAAAUAUUGUAAAAUUACGUUCCGAUCCCUAAAAUCCAGUGAAUAUACAACCACGCCCUUGAAUUUCAAAAGGAUUGAUUCAUAUCCUGAAUUUUGAUUUCAAGCGGUUAAUGACGUGUCUAUUGCUUGCAAUGCUCAAGUAGUGUUUGACACCAAGGAUAGUAAGUGCAUUCUUGAUUCUAGGGCUACUGACAUUUGAUCCCUCUUAUUUACUUAUAUUACUCUUUAAACUUUGACAAUUCAAUGUUUGCAUGGGUAAUGGUGAAUUAACACAUCUUCAAUAUAGAUCAUAUGACCUGUUACAAUUACUUUAUCAUUAAGAGUCGAUAACUGUUUAUACGUUCACAUAAAUUGCUUUCGAUCAACCAUGUUAUUCAGAGUUGUGUAUCAUAAUGCACCCUCAAUUUUUCUCUAUUAAGGGAUAUCAGGAUGGGGUGAUUAUUGGGCGAGGCACUAAGAAGCAGGGUAUAAACUACGUGGAUAGAAUUGCACAAAAAGAAAGUUGUGAUGGUAACACAUGGAUCCACAUACAUGUUAGCAUUGUUUUGACUCAGACGGCUAAGGGUAUCCAUCAUCUUAAUGCCUUGAACUCAUAAUUUAGUGCAAUUUCAAUAUAUGCACUAUUAAACGUGUAUUUUAGCUAAAAGCAAUAGGCAGACUUUUAAAACCAAUGCCACUAAGUUCUAGAACAACUUUUAUAUUUUUCGUAUUCACUAGGUUCUAUGCCUAUUUGUGGUAGCAAAAUUUUAAGUAUUUUGUCAUUUUUGUUUAUAAUAGUACUUCAAUGACUUAAUUAUAUUUAUUAAAAGGCAUAUUUGAACUUUAUUAUACUAAAUUUUGCUUGUUUUAUCUCAUGAUUUAAACUCAAUUUUAAACCAAAUUCAAGGUUUUCCGAUCUAAUAAAAGGUUAGAUCAAUUUUUUUAAUUCUUCGAUGACUCGAUUCUUUCAAGAAAAGGUUCUCAUCCACCAAACUAAUUGCCCCAUAGUAGCGGAAAGAAAAAACUGUCUUCCUCUAUAAAUUACCCGAUCUCUUCUCAUAAGCCCCCAACAUUAUGUACAACAGAAGAAAAUUAUGAAAAGAAUUAUGUAAAACUCAGACACAAAGGCCUUUUUAUUCAAACAAGGCACUAUGCACAAUCAAAUCAGUUACCAGUAAUGACUUUAAAUUGUCUUGCUCAAAGGAAAAUACCGCGGAAAUAAGAUGAUCAAGCAAGACAUAGCUAGAGAGCCUAGGUGUAACACCCCGACUUUUUCUACCCUUUUUUAUUUGUUCUCGUAGUGAUAUUGUUUGUGCAUCUAAAAGUUUUUCCCCUUUAUUUAUUUGUCGAGAGAAGUAUUUCACUUUUUGGGCCAAACAAUUAUUCUUUUACUAUAAAUUAGGAACCCGUUUGUUAUGAGCCCAAUUUUUAAAUUCUUCCUUCUUUAAGCCCAAAAUUAGUCCUCUUAAUUUUAAUCCAAGGAUAUCACUCUUCAAUUUCAAAUCCAAGAUAGUUAUCUCAAAUCUCUCCACUACCCUAAAAAAGAGGAAUAUAAUUAGUCAAAUCUUUUCCCAUGGAGAUAUAUACUCCAUCGAUUCCAUAAUUUAAAUCAUUCUCUCAGAUAGCCAAAGAAAUAGAUAGAGAGGGAGUCGUAGGUUUCAUCAAGUUUCCUUCAUGUAAUUGCAAAAUCUUUCUCCCUUCCAAAAAGGGUGAAUGUUUGCAAGCUAUUUGAGAACGGAACAGAAAAACGAGUUGAGGAUUUAAGAGAACGAGGUUCAGCGUGACGAGUGCGGUGGGUGUUGAUCAAGAUCGUUGAAGAAAUUUAAGUGUU